Oreochromis niloticus (Nile tilapia) is the source of this 3216-nucleotide long non-coding RNA. RefSeq lists it as uncharacterized. The transcript has 3 exons. The record is from RefSeq and is a predicted model, not a curated record. Lineage: Eukaryota; Metazoa; Chordata; Actinopteri; Cichliformes; Cichlidae.
GUGAUGUCAGCCCUUUUUAACCAUAGCCAGUGACUGGUCCUCUCAGCAGUGUUAGCUAGUUCUCUCAUAGCCUGCCGUUGCGCCUGUCCUCUGAUCCCAAUCUCAAUCCCAAGCAAGUUUUCGGGAGUUAGACCAAAGGACGAGGUCUGGUCGCAGAGUAGUUGUUAUGAUCUUUGUGGGAAAAAUUAGUCUCUAAUCCAAGUCCACUUGCAUCUGCCAAUCCCUAGCAGCCUUUAGCAGGCCCAGGUCUGGGUUUGAGGGGCUUGUCCUCGGCUUGUCUCCUUCCUGGACAAAUGUUGAUGAAAACUGACGCUCCUCUUGGUUCAUGAAAGGUUGAGCAUUAAUGGAUUUCCUUUUGCACUCAACUUUCUCGGCUAGACACCUGAGAACCUGGUUGUGUCUCCAUGUGUAUCUGCCCUGAGUAAGGCUAGUCCUACAACCAACCAAGAUGUGCUUGAGUGUUGCUGGGACUGUAUACAGGGUGCAGGAUGGGUCCUUUCCAAACCACACCUGCAGAUUUAUUGGGCUGCAGAUUUAUAGCACAUCAUAUGUCGCUCGGAUGAUGAAACUUGCCCCAGAUUUCACUCAAUGAGAGUUUCCUCUUUUCCACACUCUCCCAAUUCAUCCAGCGACCCUGUUUGGCCAGUGCCACGGCUCUGGCAUAUUUCCUCCUGUUGUCGCACCUCCUCCACUACCAUUUUGUGAUGUUCAGUUACAGAUGCCUGUUGCCACCAAGGUAUUACUGCGCCAAGACCAAAUACUCCUCUACCCUGUUGCACGUGACCCACCACGUCACGAUGCUGAAGAGCGGAUUUCGCCUGUAGCACAGAUGUGGCUGGGGUCCACUUCCUUCCCCAUUGCUAGGGUGGGGGCAGUGCCUCUUACUAUGGGGUCCCAGGAGUCCAUGAGUGACAUCUCAAGCCUCACUUUUGCACAUUUGAACUCCUCAACCAGGCUAGGGAUGGGCAAUGACAGCAUUGGGACACUUGGGAAGUCCGAGCCACUUCUUAACGUAGGAGCUCACUAGCCUCUCUAGUCGAUUGGCAUGAUUGCGUGAGACCUGGGUAAUAACCCAAACUGGAAGCACCAGAGCUUCAGUUUGUCAUGGUCUGGGUGGGUGCCAGUGUUUCUCCCUCCGAGCCAGCAUCUCCACCCGUGGGAGGAGCCUCUGUGUUCUGCUUAUUGCUCGCACCUGUGGGUAAUUAAGCCGGGGACUCAUAAGGCCAGCGCACUCGACCUCUCUUCGCCAGAUUCUCAGCUAACCCUAGUUAGUGCAGGCCACCGCUGUGAUUUUGUACACGACUUGCGAACUACCUUAUCUCAUUCUGUAUCUCUCUUUCAUAGCCACGCACCAAGUUGCCAGACACGAAUCUCCACUGAAGAACAACCAUCUGGACGCUGGACCUCCUGACAGUCUCACGGGUUUCUCGCCCCAUGCAACUGCCUGCCUCCCUGCCUCAAUGCCAGGGAUUUCGGAUUUCAGACCACUCACCCAGACCACUCACCCCUCCACGCCACUACUGACCGCAAUGACUCUGGCCCUUUCCCCGGACCCAGCCAACCAGUUUGACUCUCCCUUCAGCCCAAUCCUUGGAACAGCUGUUUCCACUGACGAGCGAUCAGAUUGCUUACCUAGCUCAGGCUGCAUAAACCCCUUAGGUUUAGUUGUUGCAUCUAGUUCUUGUUAAACUCACAUUUCAGUUUUCUGAUUGUGUACACCUGUUGAGAAAAUAAACGUUGUCACUGAAACUUCCUACGUGCUGUUCUGCGCCCAGCAUUUAAGUCCUUUCUCUUUGGAGGCAGCCGUGACACAGUUUCCCUGGGAGUGUAGUGUUGUUGAUCCGCUGGAGGUCAUCAGCCAAGUUCUGCCUUAAUUGUUCUAGUUUCCACGUAUCAUUGAGGUCUGCAUUAUACCACCGUCCCAGGCUCUUUAUGGGCUUCUCUAAGACUGUUGGAAUUGGUUCUCCACUGAUAUAGAAUUGCUCGGCUGUCAGUUUUCUUUUUAUAAUGGAGAUGCUACGAGAUUUACUUGGCUUAAACUCCAUUCUUGCCCAUUCUAUGUUUUCCUGGAGCUUCUGUAGCAAUUGCCUAGUACAUGGUUUUGUUGUUGUACUGAUGGUCAUGUCAUCCAUGAAGGCCCUAAUGGGAGGAAGACAAAGGCCACUCUUGAGCCUCUCACCUCCCACUACCCACCGGGAUGCCCGCAUGACCAACUCCAUUGCCAUGAUAAAUGCCAGAGGGGAAAUCGUGCAGCCUGCCAUUACUCCAAUUUCCAGAUGCUGCCAGGCUGUGGUAGUGUUCUCAGCUGUCACACAAAACUGUAAAUCCUGAAAGUAGGUAUUGACCACUCCUGUGAUGUGGUUUGGUACGCUGAAAUAGUUGAAGGCCAUCCACAAGAUCUCGUGCGGAACUGACCCAAAGGUGAAUGGCAAGGUCUAAAAAGACCACAUGAUGGUCUCUUCGUUCUUUCUUGGGAGUUUGAAUCUGGUGCCAGACGACGCUGGCAUGCUCCAGACAUGCCGAGAAGCCCCAGAUGCCAUCCUUCUGCACUGAUGUGUCAAUAUAGUUGUUUCUUUGCAGGAAGGUAGAUAGCCUUUGGGCCAAGACACUGAAGAAGAUCUUUCCUUCUACGUUCAGCAGGCUGAUCUGGCGGUACUGGCUGAUGGAUGAGGAGUUCUUCUCCUUAGGGAUCAGAAUACCUCCUGCUCUUCGCCAAGCCUUUGGAAUCACUCCUUUCUGCCAUGCUACCUUCAUCAGCUUCCACAGGUUUUCUACAGGAAGAAAAGAGGCAGCAGCCCAUCUCUGAGCCAGAAGCCCACGAACAUCAUGAGGAAUCUGACGACACUGAACAAAAUCCCAGACCCCCUCUCAUACCAGCCAAGAUGAGGAAGUCGUGUGGGCUAACAGACUUGCUUGGUCAGACUUAUAGUGAUGUUGGAGCCCCACCAAAAUCAUUAUCUGCCACAGCUGAGGAGGAGGUGAAAAGAUACCAGGAGGUCACGCCACUGGCACUCACAGAAGACCCACUAAGCUGGUGGAAAUACCAUGAACAAGUCUAUGCUUUCCUGGCCACGCUGGCAAAAAGAUACCUUUGCAUCCCAGGUACUAGUGUCUCGGCUGAAAGAGUCUUCUCGAAGGCUGGAGACAUCGUCACAGCAAAACAGAGCACUCUACCCAUUUGGAAAAGAAAUAGAAAAAACUUAUAAAAGACUUGCA